RNAcentral lists this unclassified non-coding RNA (385 nucleotides) under Hevea brasiliensis (rubber tree). The record is from RNAcentral. Lineage: Eukaryota; Viridiplantae; Streptophyta; Magnoliopsida; Malpighiales; Euphorbiaceae.
GUGGAAAAAGAGAAUUCAUAUAGUCGACUCCAAUAAAUAUUUGGAACAAAAGCUUAGUUGAGUUGAGUAGAAGCAUUCUGCAUCAUUAAUGGAUAAUGAUCAAAUCCAGAAUGUUUUUGGUACCUGUCUAAAUGAAUGAACUGGGCUGAGUAAUGGCUCUGUUUCUCAUCUAGCCAUUUGCUAGGAUUACUUCUUCCUUUCUUAAGUGAUAAAUUCAUUAGAAGAAUUGCUCAAAAGGUGAUGUUUCCAAGUACACGAGGCAUUGUUACAGUUGUUUGUAAGAAAUGCACUGUAACUUUUAGAAAUUGAAUAAGCUUAGCUGCAGAAAAAAAAAUGCAUAUAUGUUUUCUUUUAGUUUACUUUGUUUGGGGAAGAGAAGAGGGGG